GAACCAAGAAACUUCAGAAACCUCUGAUAUCUGAUCAAGAGUUAAGAGACGUCAGAAUCAUCACAACUGACAAAAGAAUGUUUUCUCUCUUCAAGAUUCUCUUUUGAAAGACAUCUAAAAAGAAACCAGGUCUCACUGUUUUGCCAGGCUGGUCUUGAACUCCUGUGCUCAAGCAAUCCUCCCACCUUGGCCUCUCAGAGUGCUGGGGUUACAGAAAUAGAUGACAAGAGGGUGCCCAACACACAAGGGGAAUUACAGAAUGCAUCCCCUAAGCAAAGGAAGCAGAGUGUGUACACACCACCCACCAUAAAAGGGGUUAAGCAUCUGAAAGGCCAGAAUGAUUCAGCGUUCCCUGAAGAAGAAGAAGGCACCAAUGAAAGAGAGGAGCAGCGGGACCAUUAAUUACUGGUCUGCAGCAAGAAGGCUUCUUGGAAAUAACUGAACUAUUAACUUUUCUGAGUAUACCAUGGAAUUCCACUGCUUGGCUUCCAGAAGCAUCCUCCAUCUCUGCACCCUGCACUCAUACAGUAGCUAUGCACAUCCUGGAAGUC
This 551-nucleotide small RNA is filed under the name Pongo abelii (Sumatran orangutan). RNAcentral's name for it is "processed transcript". Lineage: Eukaryota; Metazoa; Chordata; Mammalia; Primates; Hominidae. The record is from RNAcentral.